Molecule: long non-coding RNA, 633 nt
Filed under: Monodelphis domestica (gray short-tailed opossum)
Lineage: Eukaryota; Metazoa; Chordata; Mammalia; Didelphimorphia; Didelphidae
Description: lncRNA (ENSMODG00000035639.2)
Source: RNAcentral
CUGGAAAUAGGUAGCCUGUCUGCUUUUGGAAAAGGAAGUCUGCUGUUUCCUCACCCUGAAGGAAAAGGAAAGGGGAGAAUUUCAUAAGGAAAAGGGAAAAGUGAGCAAGUACACAUAGGUUUGAAAUGAAUGUUUGUUCAUGAGGGUACCACUAAGUCCUCUGAAAAAUAUUCCAAGGCUCCUGGUGAUCUUUACUAGGUAAAGUCUAAUAGAGAAACUUAACAAGGAAUGUACCUCCUGAAGAGGAAUCUAGAAGACACACCAUGGGUGAGAAACGAAUCCAGAUUGCAGGACAUUAAGGGAACUGGGUGAACCAUCCAAACUCAUAAAUGGUUAAAGGAUAUGAAUAAAUGAUUUUCCAAAGGCAAAAUCAAAGAAUUAGGUUAUUAAAUAAAGGAGGCAAGCGUCCUUUUCCUGUGGAUAUGCCUGUCCAACCAUAGGCAUGGGAAGGGAUGUAUAAGUUGAUGGACCAACUAUUAAUUAGCUAUCAACAACUAAAGAUGUCUUGGGAUGGUCAAGGAUGGUGCUGAAAAAUGAGUUCUUAAAAAUCUAUUUAUUUGGCUGCCUGACCCUGUGGAGGCCCUCCAUCAUAUGAGAGAACCAUGGAGACCUAAAUUGCUUUAUUGGUUAUGA